Molecule: ribosomal RNA, 396 nt
Filed under: uncultured bacterium
Lineage: Bacteria
Description: bacterial SSU rRNA
Rfam family: Bacterial small subunit ribosomal RNA
Source: RNAcentral
GACGAACGCUGGCGGCGUGCUUAACACAUGCAAGUCGAGCGGUAAGGCCCUUUCGGGGGUACACGAGCGGCGAACGGGUGAGUAACACGUGGGUGACCUGCCUCUAGCUCUGGGAUAAGCCCGGGAAACUGGGUCUAAUACUGGAUAUGACUCCAUGACGCAUGUUGUGGGGUGGAAAGCCUUGUGCGGCUAGAGAUGGGCCCGCGGCCUAUCAGCUUGUUGGUGGGGUGAUGGCCUACCAAGGCGACGACGGGUAGCCGGCCUGAGAGGGCGACCGGCCACACUGGGACUGAGACACGGCCCAGACUCCUACGGGAGGCAGCAGUGGGGAAUCUUGCGCAAUGGGCGAAAGCCUGACGCAGCGACGCCGCGUGAGGGAUGACGGCCUGGUGUAAC